This 804-nucleotide long non-coding RNA is filed under the name Vigna radiata. RNAcentral's name for it is "long non-coding RNA (VRAD_LNC012311)". The record is from RNAcentral. Lineage: Eukaryota; Viridiplantae; Streptophyta; Magnoliopsida; Fabales; Fabaceae.
UGAUUACCACAUGAUGCAGUCCUGGUCACGACUGAUCGGAGAAGAACCGAGAAAUGGAGUUGAACGCACGAUUGGAGGAGAUGUCGCAGCAGAAGAAGCUUAAAACCUAGGUUUAGAGUUUGCUCGGUGGAAAAGGUUAGGGUUCGAGGUAACAGAGGUUUUAAUCAGUGGAAGUUUGAAAGAAAUGGAGGAGUAGCUGUUUGAACGGUGAAACAAGAGGUUUCAUCGAUUGAAUCGAUGGAAGGAAAGGAUUCUCGGUUUUUUGAACGGUAAAGUGAAAGAGAGUCCGAUGAGGGAAGAUCUCGUGAUGAAAUGGUGAAAGGCUGGCGAUCUAGAACAGAAAAUGGAGCUUGCGUGGUGGUCAGCGGUUGGCUGUGAGGAGCUCAAGAGAGAAGGCUCUCGAGAAGAAACCCUAGGUUUGUGAUGAAAUGUGAGAUUUUGUUGGUCUGUGGUGUGAGAUCACGAAGAUGUAGCGUGAAAGGUAAGUUUAGGCGUGGUAGUUGAUCUGGUAAGCCACGAGGACGCUUUGAAUUGGUGGAAGAGGUAUGCGGUGGCUGAAAGAGAAAUCUGAAGUGGAAAAUGUAUGAAGUGCAAUGUGAUAGGAAGGUGGCUGAGAGAAUCCCUUGGAUUCUUCAGCCUUGAAUUUCAAGGAAUUAAUUUUGGAGUAUUCUCAACAGGAAAGUAAUUCACUAUCUCAAAAGUAAGUACAAGAAGUGUAGGCAUGGCUAUUUAUAGGACUAGAAGUCCCACAUGCCUAACACAAUACAAAGUACAUAAAAGAAAGACUACACUAAAGACAUUGGG